This 452-nucleotide unclassified non-coding RNA is filed under the name Hevea brasiliensis (rubber tree). Lineage: Eukaryota; Viridiplantae; Streptophyta; Magnoliopsida; Malpighiales; Euphorbiaceae. The record is from RNAcentral.
AAAUUCAUUAGCCACAUCUAUCAUUGGCGUACAUGACAUAUCGACAACAAAACCUGCAAGCCGAGGUGAGUCAACACUUGAUUCAGACCCAGUGAUCUUCAACACAGCAUCUUUAACAUUGGAUUUCUGUCUCUCAAAGAAAGAAGAGAAACUAAAUGAUUCAGUCUCGUCUUCGGGCAGAUCAAUGAACUGAAGACGAUUGGAUAUAGUAGAGGAAGAAGCUCUCCGCGAUUCAACGUAGUUAUGAACUUUAGAGCUGAUAGAAGAAUGACUGAGGAUAAGGACAGUAAUGGAGAGCUGGUGACAGCGGGUUAGAAGAAGCUUUGCUGCUUCCAACGCCGAUACAAGGUGGCCCCUAGCAGGGGCGGGGAUGAACACGAGCUGUGCUUUUUCCAUUUUAGUAUUGAUAAAAUUUUCUUAAUUUUGGUGCCAAAGGCCAAGCAAGCACAAAG